This 75-nucleotide transfer RNA is filed under the name Rhizobiaceae bacterium. RNAcentral's name for it is "tRNA-Thr". It matches the Rfam family "tRNA". Rfam says of the family: Transfer RNA (tRNA) molecules are approximately 80 nucleotides in length. Lineage: Bacteria; Pseudomonadati; Pseudomonadota; Alphaproteobacteria; Hyphomicrobiales; Rhizobiaceae. The record is from RNAcentral.
GCUGUUGUAGCUCAGGGGUAGAGCACUUCAUUGGUAAUGAAGAGGUCGGUGGUUCAAUUCCACUCAACAGCACCA